UGUGUAGGCGGCCUGUUAAGUUCCGUGUGAAAUCUCCCGGCUCAACCGGGAGGGUGCGCGGAAAACUGGCGGGCUAGAGUGCGGGGUGGGAGAGUAGAAUUCCUGGUGUAGCGGUGAAAUGCGUAGAUAUCAGGAGGAAUACCGGUGGUGUAGACGGCUCUCUGGACCGCAACUGACGCUGAAACACGAAAGCGUGGGUAGAAC
This 204-nucleotide ribosomal RNA is filed under the name uncultured bacterium. Its description in RNAcentral is "partial 16S ribosomal RNA". It matches the Rfam family "Bacterial small subunit ribosomal RNA", at positions 568 to 771 of the family's 1533-position model. The record is from RNAcentral.